AUGUCGAUGGUGUUCCUUCAAACAGAAAAUUGUAAAUUCCAAGCUAUAAAAUCGAUAGUUUUCUGUCCUUGUUUUUUUUUUUUCUUUUUUCAGAUGGCACUUAAGAAUUGCAUUGAGUCUCCCACCUGUGAUUGCAUUCAACCCACACUAUUGAUGAAUUGGAAGUAUAAUCUACUCGAGUUCUCUCAUUAUCUGCAAAAUAAUAUGAUUGAACUCCAUUGGUUCUCCAGUCAACGGCACUGCCAGCCACUUCCUUUGGAGGCACGCAGAAACAUCUGAGCCUGUUGCUGGCUGGUACAAUGACAGCUACUGGGUAAGUUCUGGGGAAAGCAAACCUCUUGCAAUGCCCAAGAAGUCCAGCCUAGAGGCUCGUCCUGCUGAAUAUAUAAAAGGGACCUCUAUUGCGAACUCUGGGCUCAGUGAUGGGGAAGCUCCUAUCUGGAGCUGAGAGUGAAUGUCUCUGACUACAUGGUCCUGGAGAACACUUACCCCCCAUUCCCAAUGGGGAAGAACCUCCAUUAGUACAACACAUGGGUCUCUUUCCCCUCCCUCUGAAUCUCUUCUGCUUUUCUGUUUGGUACAUGCAUGGCUUACCUCUUUCUGUCUUCUCACUCUGUGUGUAAUUUUCCAUUACUGUAUAACAAGUUACCAUAGACUCUGUGGCCGAAAAUAACACCUGCUGACUCACUCACAGUUGUGUAAAUCAGAAGCAUGGAACGGCGUUGCUGGCCUCUGCUCUGGAUGCCACAAGACUCAAGUCAAGGUGCUGACCAGGCUGAGGCCUUGUCUGGAGGCUUUUGGGAAAUAGCUGCUUCCAAGCUCAUCAUUUUGCUGUCAUUGUUGGCAGGAUUUAGUUCCUCAUGGCUCUGGGACUGAGGUGUCCCUUUCCCUUACUGUCUAUAAGGAAUCUCACAGAGUCUGUGGCAUUCCUUGCCACAGGCUUCCCUCCCUCUUCAAGCCAGCAGCAGCAUGGUGAAUCCUUUGACUUCCCUGUCUCUGACCUCUAGACUACGUUUUCAAGGGCUCCUGGGAUGAGCACAGGCCCAUCUGGAUAAUUGUCCUAUCAUAAUAUGACCAACUGGCUUUGGAUCUGAGUUAUAUUUGCAAAAUUCCUUACAGCAAUAAUAGCGUGGCUAUCCAUUAUAUUAGUGUUGCUUGAAUGACUGGGGGAAGCAAUGUAUAUGUUCCCCAAGAG
Molecule: long non-coding RNA, 1195 nt
Filed under: Canis lupus familiaris (dog)
Lineage: Eukaryota; Metazoa; Chordata; Mammalia; Carnivora; Canidae
Description: lncRNA (ENSCAFG00030001935.1)
Source: RNAcentral